RNAcentral lists this long non-coding RNA (418 nucleotides) under Mustela putorius furo (domestic ferret). RNAcentral describes it as "lncRNA (ENSMPUG00000026729.1)". The record is from RNAcentral. Lineage: Eukaryota; Metazoa; Chordata; Mammalia; Carnivora; Mustelidae.
CCAUAAAUUGCAUUUUUUACUUUUUAUUGGAAUGGCUUCUCAUUUUGUAGAUAAAAAUAUUUUUUAUAUGUUCCUAAAGGUUUUUUUUUUUUUUUUUUUUUUUUUUUAGAAACACAAUGAUUUACAACCUCUAGAAACAAGUUUUCUGAACCUUGUUUCUGAAAACAUUUUGACUUCCCUUAGUUGGCACUGGAGGAAGAUACAAGUAUCUGGGGAAAACAACAAUUCAUGCCAUAUCACUUGCCCUCACAAAUCAUCCCAGAAAAACUUCUCAUGGCACAGAAAUGCCAGCAGCCAGAUGAAGACACCUGUCCCUAUCUGCAUGUGGAGCCAUAAGCAGUCAUUUUCUAACUUGGCAGCCCUCCUUCAAGUGUCAUUUCCAACACCACCUAGUGGACCAGGAAAUUCAGUCAAGCCG